RNAcentral lists this ribosomal RNA (253 nucleotides) under uncultured bacterium. Its description in RNAcentral is "partial 16S ribosomal RNA". It matches the Rfam family "Bacterial small subunit ribosomal RNA", at positions 526 to 779 of the family's 1533-position model. The record is from RNAcentral.
CGUAGGGAGCAAGCGUUAUCCGGAAUUACUGGGCGUAAAGGGCGUGUAGGCGGCCAAUUAAGCUAGGUGUAAAUGUUACAGCUCAACUGUAAACCCGCAUCUAGAACUGGUUGGCUAGAGGAUGAGAGAGGAAAGUGGAAUUCCUAGUGUAGCGGUGGAAUGCGUAGAUAUUAGGAGGAACACCAGUGGCGAAGGCGGCUUUCUGGCUCAUACCUGACGCUGAGGCGCGAAAGCGUGGGGAGCAAACAGGAUU